CAAUGUAUCCUACCCGAUUAUA
RNAcentral lists this small nuclear RNA (22 nucleotides) under Arabidopsis thaliana (thale cress). Its description in RNAcentral is "snRNA_02481". The record is from RNAcentral. Lineage: Eukaryota; Viridiplantae; Streptophyta; Magnoliopsida; Brassicales; Brassicaceae.